Molecule: ribosomal RNA, 2369 nt
Filed under: Staphylococcus aureus
Lineage: Bacteria; Bacillati; Bacillota; Bacilli; Caryophanales; Staphylococcaceae
Description: partial 23S ribosomal RNA
Rfam family: Bacterial large subunit ribosomal RNA
Source: RNAcentral
AUCAAAGAAGGUAAUAAUCCUGUAGUCGAAAAUGUUGUCUCUCUUGAGUGGAUCCUGAGUACGACGGAGCACGUGAAAUUCCGUCGGAAUCUGGGAGGACCAUCUCCUAAGGCUAAAUACUCUCUAGUGACCGAUAGUGAACCAGUACCGUGAGGGAAAGGUGAAAAGCACCCCGGAAGGGGAGUGAAAUAGAACCUGAAACCGUGUGCUUACAAGUAGUCAGAGCCCGUUAAUGGGUGAUGGCGUGCCUUUUGUAGAAUGAACCGGCGAGUUACGAUUUGAUGCAAGGUUAAGCAGUAAAUGUGGAGCCGUAGCGAAAGCGAGUCUGAAUAGGGCGUUUAGUAUUUGGUCGUAGACCCGAAACCAGGUGAUCUACCCUUGGUCAGGUUGAAGUUCAGGUAACACUGAAUGGAGGACCGAACCGACUUACGUUGAAAAGUGAGCGGAUGAACUGAGGGUAGCGGAGAAAUUCCAAUCGAACCUGGAGAUAGCUGGUUCUCUCCGAAAUAGCUUUAGGGCUAGCCUCAAGUGAUGAUUAUUGGAGGUAGAGCACUGUUUGGACGAGGGGCCCCUCUCGGGUUACCGAAUUCAGACAAACUCCGAAUGCCAAUUAAUUUAACUUGGGAGUCAGAACAUGGGUGAUAAGGUCCGUGUUCGAAAGGGAAACAGCCCAGACCACCAGCUAAGGUCCCAAAAUAUAUGUUAAGUGGAAAAGGAUGUGGCGUUGCCCAGACAACUAGGAUGUUGGCUUAGAAGCAGCCAUCAUUUAAAGAGUGCGUAAUAGCUCACUAGUCGAGUGACACUGCGCCGAAAAUGUACCGGGGCUAAACAUAUUACCGAAGCUGUGGAUUGUCCUUUGGACAAUGGUAGGAGAGCGUUCUAAGGGCGUUGAAGCAUGAUCGUAAGGACAUGUGGAGCGCUUAGAAGUGAGAAUGCCGGUGUGAGUAGCGAAAGACGGGUGAGAAUCCCGUCCACCGAUUGACUAAGGUUUCCAGAGGAAGGCUCGUCCGCUCUGGGUUAGUCGGGUCCUAAGCUGAGGCCGACAGGCGUAGGCGAUGGAUAACAGGUUGAUAUUCCUGUACCACCUAUAAUCGUUUUAAUCGAUGGGGGGACGCAGUAGGAUAGGCGAAGCGUGCGAUUGGAUUGCACGUCUAAGCAGUAAGGCUGAGUAUUAGGCAAAUCCGGUACUCGUUAAGGCUGAGCUGUGAUGGGGAGAAGACAUUGUGUCUUCGAGUCGUUGAUUUCACACUGCCGAGAAAAGCCUCUAGAUAGAAAAUAGGUGCCCGUACCGCAAACCGACACAGGUAGUCAAGAUGAGAAUUCUAAGGUGAGCGAGCGAACUCUCGUUAAGGAACUCGGCAAAAUGACCCCGUAACUUCGGGAGAAGGGGUGCUCUUUAGGGUUAACGCCCAGAAGAGCCGCAGUGAAUAGGCCCAAGCGACUGUUUAUCAAAAACACAGGUCUCUGCUAAACCGUAAGGUGAUGUAUAGGGGCUGACGCCUGCCCGGUGCUGGAAGGUUAAGAGGAGUGGUUAGCUUCUGCGAAGCUACGAAUCGAAGCCCCAGUAAACGGCGGCCGUAACUAUAACGGUCCUAAGGUAGCGAAAUUCCUUGUCGGGUAAGUUCCGACCCGCACGAAAGGCGUAACGAUUUGGGCACUGUCUCAACGAGAGACUCGGUGAAAUCAUAGUACCUGUGAAGAUGCAGGUUACCCGCGACAGGACGGAAAGACCCCGUGGAGCUUUACUGUAGCCUGAUAUUGAAAUUCGGCACAGCUUGUACAGGAUAGGUAGGAGCCUUUGAAACGUGAGCGCUAGCUUACGUGGAGGCGCUGGUGGGAUACUACCCUAGCUGUGUUGGCUUUCUAACCCGCACCACUUAUCGUGGUGGGAGACAGUGUCAGGCGGGCAGUUUGACUGGGGCGGUCGCCUCCUAAAAGGUAACGGAGGCGCUCAAAGGUUCCCUCAGAAUGGUUGGAAAUCAUUCAUAGAGUGUAAAGGCAUAAGGGAGCUUGACUGCGAGACCUACAAGUCGAGCAGGGUCGAAAGACGGACUUAGUGAUCCGGUGGUUCCGCAUGGAAGGGCCAUCGCUCAACGGAUAAAAGCUACCCCGGGGAUAACAGGCUUAUCUCCCCCAAGAGUUCACAUCGACGGGGAGGUUUGGCACCUCGAUGUCGGCUCAUCGCAUCCUGGGGCUGUAGUCGGUCCCAAGGGUUGGGCUGUUCGCCCAUUAAAGCGGUACGCGAGCUGGGUUCAGAACGUCGUGAGACAGUUCGGUCCCUAUCCGUCGUGGGCGUAGGAAAUUUGAGAGGAGCUGUCCUUAGUACGAGAGGACCGGGAUGGACAUACCUCUGGUGUACCAGUUGUCGU